CCUACGGGAGGCAGCAGUGAGGAAUAUUGGUCAAUGGACGGAAGUCUGAACCAGCCAUGCCGCGUGCAGGAAGACGGCGCUAUGAGUUGUAAACUGCUUUUGUACAAGGGUAAACCUGAAUACGUGUAUUCAGCUGAAAGUACUGUACGAAUAAGGAUCGGCUAACUCCGUGCAAGCAGCCGCGGUAAUACGGAGGAUCCAAGCGUUAUCCGGAUUUAUUGGGUUUAAAGGGUGCGUAGGCGGAUUUAUAAGUUAGAGGUGAAAUGUCCGAGCUUAGCUCGGGAACUGCCUCUACUACUGUUGAUCUAGAGAGUAGAUGCGGUAGGCGGAAUGUAUGGUGUAGCGGUGAAAUGCUUAGAGAUCAUACAGAACACCGAUUGCGAAGGCAGCUUACCAAGCUAUAUCUGACGUUGAGGCACGAAAGCGUGGGUAGCAAACAGGAUUAGAUACCCGAGUAGUC
This 460-nucleotide ribosomal RNA is filed under the name uncultured bacterium. Its description in RNAcentral is "partial 16S ribosomal RNA". It matches the Rfam family "Bacterial small subunit ribosomal RNA", at positions 338 to 795 of the family's 1533-position model. The record is from RNAcentral.